RNAcentral lists this ribosomal RNA (644 nucleotides) under uncultured Campylobacterales bacterium. Its description in RNAcentral is "bacterial SSU rRNA". It matches the Rfam family "Bacterial small subunit ribosomal RNA", at positions 61 to 716 of the family's 1533-position model. The record is from RNAcentral. Lineage: Bacteria; Pseudomonadati; Campylobacterota; Epsilonproteobacteria; Campylobacterales.
GUCGAACGAGAACGGGUUAUAGCUUGCUAUAAUUGUCAGCUAAGUGGCGCACGGGUGAGUAAUGUAUAGGUAAUAUGCCUUUUACUAAGGGAUAACAGAUGGAAACGUUUGCUAAUACCUUAUACUCCGUUUAUGUAUAAAUGUAAAUGGGAAAGAUUUAUCGGUAAGAGAUUGGCCUGUAUUGUAUCAGUUAGUUGGUGGGGUAAUGGCCUACCAAGACAAUGACGCAUAACUGGUUUGAGAGGAUGAUCAGUCACACUGGAACUGAGACACGGUCCAGACUCCUACGGGAGGCAGCAGUGGGGAAUAUUGCACAAUGGACGGAAGUCUGAUGCAGCAACGCCGCGUGGAGGAUGACACAUUUCGGUGCGUAAACUCCUUUUAUAUAAGAAGAUAAUGACGGUAAUAUAUGAAUAAGCACCGGCUAACUCCGUGCCAGCAGCCGCGGUAAUACGGGGGGUGCAAGCGUUACUCGGAAUCACUGGGCGUAAAGAGCAUGUAGGCGGAUUGAUAAGUUUGAAGUGAAAUCCUAUAGCUUAACUAUAGAACUGCUUUGAAAACUGUUAAUCUAGAAUGUGGGAGAGGUAGAUGGAAUUUCUGGUGUAGGGGUAAAAUCCGUAGAGAUCAGAAGGAAUACCGAUUGC